Molecule: unclassified non-coding RNA, 220 nt
Filed under: uncultured fungus
Lineage: Eukaryota; Fungi
Description: sequence contains ITS1, 5.8S rRNA gene
Source: RNAcentral
UUUCCGUAGGUGAACCUGUGGAAGGAUCAUUAUCAAAACAGCGGACUUCGGUCCUUGCUGCACCCUUGUCUUUUGCGUACCGUAUGUUUCCUCGGCGGGCUUGCCUGCCGGUUGGACAUUAUCAUACCUUUUUGUAGUUGCAAUCAGCGUCAGAAACAAAACAAUAAUUACAUCUUUCAACUACGGAUCUCUUGGUUCUGGCAUAGAUGAAGAACGCAGC